CCUACGGGCGGCAGCAGUGGGGAAUAUUGGACAAUGGGGGCAACCCUGAUCCAGCCAUGCCGCGUGUGUGAAGAAGGCCCUCGGGUUGUAAAGCACUUCCAGUGAGGAAGAACGCCUGGUGGUUAAUACCCAUCAGGAAAGACAUCACUCACAGAAGAAGCACCGGCUAACUCCGUGCCAGCAGCCGCGGUAAUACGGAGGGUGCGAGCGUUAAUCGGAAUUACUGGGCGUAAAGCGCGCGUAGGUGGCUUGAUAAGCCGGUUGUGAAAGCCCCGGGCUCAACCUGGGAACGGCAUCCGGAACUGUCAAGCUAGAGUGCAGGAGAGGAAGGUAGAAUUCCCGGUGUAGCGGUGAAAUGCGUAGAGAUCGGGAGGAAUACCAGUGGCGAAGGCGGCCUUCUGGACUGACACUGACACUGAGGUGCGAAAGCGUGGGUAGCAACCAGGAUUAGAUACCCCGGUAGUC
Molecule: ribosomal RNA, 465 nt
Filed under: Vreelandella stevensii
Lineage: Bacteria; Pseudomonadati; Pseudomonadota; Gammaproteobacteria; Oceanospirillales; Halomonadaceae
Description: partial 16S ribosomal RNA
Rfam family: Bacterial small subunit ribosomal RNA
Source: RNAcentral